AACGAACGCUGGCGGCAUGCCUAACACAUGCAAGUCGAACGAGACCUUUGGGUCUAGUGGCGCACGGGUGCGUAACGCGUGGGAACCUGCCCUUAGGUUCGGAAUAACUCCCCGAAAGGGGUGCUAAUACCGGUUAAUGUCUUCGGACCAAAGAUUUAUCGCCUUUGGCUGGGCCCGCGUUGGAUUAGCUAGUUGGUAGGGUAAAAGCCUACCAAGGCGACGAUCCAUAGCUGGUCUGAGAGGAUGAUCAGCCACACUGGGACUGAGACACGGCCCAGACUCCUACGGGAGGCAGCAGUGGAGAAUAUUGGACAAUGGGCGAAAGCCUGAUCCAGCAAUGCCGCGUGAGAGAUGAAGGCCUUAGGGUUGUAAAGCUCUUUUACCCGGGAUGAUAAUGACAGUACCGGGAGAAUAAGCUCCGGCUAACUCCGUG
Molecule: ribosomal RNA, 433 nt
Filed under: uncultured bacterium
Lineage: Bacteria
Description: partial 16S ribosomal RNA
Rfam family: Bacterial small subunit ribosomal RNA
Source: RNAcentral